GGUCUUCCCUUACUCACACUAAAAAAAAGAAAUGAUGCUGCAAAGAAGAAAAACAAUAGGUAAAAUAAUAUUUCCAAAAGUUAUUACUCCUUUAUUGGCUUCAUCCUUUAUAAGAUAUUCUUUGUUUGUUAUAUUAAAAGAACGACAGGAAACACCCAAGAGCCACUUAAGAAUGAAACUGGAAGAAAAGAGAUGAGAAAGUUACGAUUCCCACACUACACUGAAUCAUAAACUAACCAAACAGGCUAGGGUUUGCACAAUAUGCUAAACUCAAAAGCAAAACCUGCCAUGCCAUGUCAGAAAGACAGUUUAGAACUGAUAUAGGUAUAGUAAAGGAGCCACUUGCAAUCUUAAAGGAAUUUAUGAAAAAAAUAAAUGUAAGUUUCCUAGAGCCAGCUAUGGCAGAGAGACUGCUUUGGUGGACAAGGGACUUAGUGCACCUUUAUGACUCAAGAGCUCUCAUAAUAUUGUGAUCCAGAAAAAUCAAUGUUGGAUUUGCAACUUGAACAAAUUCAUCCUGUAUACUGUAUACUCAUAAAUAGGGCAUCAUGGUGGCUCAGCAGUUAAUGUACUGGGCUUGCUAACUGGAAAGCUGGCAGCCCAGAUUUGAGACCUGAGCACUAUGGGACGGGGUGAGCUUGUGCCCACCUAGCAGUUCAAAAGCAUACAAAUACAAAUAGAUAAAUAGAUACCACUGCAGUGGUAAGAGUAAGAGCACUCCAGGAUGUCAUACUGGCCAUUGACAAUGGAAAUGUCUUUGGACAGUGCUAGCUCAAUGGUCUUGAAACAGAGAUGAGCACUGACCCCUUACAGUUGGUUACAGGGGAUUCCUAUAUUCAUAAAUGGUUCAUCACUUCCCUGCGAGGAAGCAUCAGGUGAGGUGGGCCCAGGAUUAUUCAACCUCUUUAUAAAUAACUUCCAGGAUUGAAUGGAACCGUCUUUCCCCCCCCAAACUUGUGGGUAAUACCAAAUUGGCUAAUUCUUUGCAGGACACAAUCCCAUUUCAAAAUCGUGCCUGAACACACGAUUAAUAGGCCAAUGUUUGCUCAUGUCCAAUGGAAUAUCCUGCUUUUGGGUAGGAGAAGUCAGAUGUGCAAGUAGAGGAUUGGGAAGUUACAGUAUGUCAGGUGGCAGGGCUUAUAAGAAGAUUUAGGAGUACUAAUGAACCACUAGACUAAGAGAAAACUGAUGCAGCAACUCAAAAGGCCAAUGCAAUAUUGGGUUGCACUAACAAAAAUACUAAUCAAAUCACAGAAGGUUAUUAUUCCACUGUGAUUCCAUUAAAUAUCCCAGUAGGUAGAUUAUACUAUGUCCAGUUCUAGGCCGGAUAAGGAUAUGACAGGGUUCAGAGGACAUCUACUAGGCUUAUACUAAACACUGUAAGUUUAAAGAACAUAAAAGGAGCUGGCUUCCUUUAGGUUACAAAAAAAAAAAAGUAUGAACAAACUGCAAAAAUUUAGAAGCUUGUUAUAUGAAAGAGCCAAAAAGGGUAGUGAGAACUACCUUCUUGCCUAUUUUAAAAUCUCCCACCAGUCCUGCCUGUGGGAACUGCUGACUGAACUUGUUCUAAGUUGAAAAUAAGAGCAGACCAGGAUCUAAUUAUUAGAAGACUGAUUGGGAGCAAUGAAGCAGGCUCCCCUCUUAUCAGUAAUAGUUUUCCACCUUCGAAAUUUUCAAAUGGGGGUGGGACUGAAUGCACCAGACAAGAGGUUGGACUCAUCCAUUCCAUGAAGAAACAAAGACCAAGUUUAGCAUAUUCAUUGACCAAACACAGCUAAGUUUUUUCUGUAAGUGCAUUGUAUUACUAUUGUUGUUGUUGUUAGUUGUCGAGACCCCAUGGACAACAUUCCUCCAGGCUUUCCUGUCCUCUACCAUCCUCUGGAGUCCACUUAAGCUCACGCCUACUCCUUCAGUGACUCCAUCCAGUCACCUCGUUCUCUGUCAUCUUCUUUUGCCCUCAAUCUUUCCCAGCAUUAGGCUCUCCUCCAGUGAGCCCUUCCUUCUCAUUAGGUGGCCAAAAUAUUUGAGUGUCAUCUUCAGGAUCUGGCCUUCUAAAGAGCACUCAGGGUUGAUCUCCUCUGGGACUGACCGGUUUGAUUGCCUUGCAGUCCAAAGGACUCACAGGAGUCUUCUCCAGCACUAUAGUUCAAAGGCCUCAGUUCUUUGGCUCUCAGCCUUCCUUAUGGUCCAACCUUCACAGCCAUACAUUACAACUGGGAAAAUUAUAGCCUUGACUAUACACACUUUUGUUGGCAGGGUGAUAUCUCUGCUUUUUAGUAUGCUGUCUAGAUUGCCAUAGCUUUCUUCCCCAGGAGCAAACAUCUUUUAAUUUCUUGGCUGCAGUCCCCAUCUGGGGUGAUCUUGUAGCCCAGGAAAAUAAAAUCUGUUACUACCUCCAUUUCUUCCCCAUCUAUCUUCCAGCAAUUGAGAGGGCCGGAUGCCAUGAUCUUUGUUUUCUUAAUGCUGAGUUUCAAGCCAACUUUCGCACUCUCCUCCUUCACCGGCAUCAAGAGGCUCUUUAGUUCCAUUAGAGUGGUAUCAUCUGCAUAUCUGAGGUUGUUGAGAUUUCUUGGUUGGUAUUACUAUUCUUGGUUGGUAUUACUAUAGAUAUGGUGAUUUCGGUCAGGAGCGGGUGCAGCCUCUCAACCUAGCCGAAAUUAACACUAACCGAGGUUAGCGUGUAGCAGCGAGACUUGCAAAUGUUCGCUUGCGUCAACUCAGCUGUCCUUACGAUGUGCUUCUCUCUCACACCCGCUCCAUGAACUCAUUCUAGCCAGUAACGUCAAACCGAGAGUAACGACAGGUGCGGGCGGUGUACAUAAGGACCGGGAAUUCCCUCUACGUCGAGGCGACUCUCCUGCACCACCCUCGAGCCUUGCCUUAAUUAACCUAAAAGCUUCUCACCCUCCAGGCUGCGAGCGACCGAGCGCGCGCGCAUCAGGUUCCCAGGGAUUUCGCCUCGCUGCGUUUCGGAUCGAGCAAUUACGUUCCCAGGGCGGGCUCGAAUUUACAUGAGCUUGGCUCUUCUUCUAUUACCCGGGGUGGGUGGGGGUGGGGGGGUAGGACGCCUCUGCAAAAUAUCAACAAAAAGGAGGAAGGUCCUGCUUUUGUCUUAGAAACCAAGAGAGGCAAGAAGCAACGAGGUAUUCCAGCAGAUCCCCCCUCCACCCAUACACACACCGGCUUCCAUUCCGGAGAAAGAAGCGCUGGACUGCCCGAAGCCAGGGAAGCGCAGCGCGUGCGCACUCGGAGACCUCCAGCCUCUUCUCCCGCUCCCUCCCUUCUCCACUUCUACUCCCAAGCCGCUGCCAAGCGCCAGUGGUGGAGCGGCAGCCGCCGGGGGAAGCCGUUUGCCCGCCUCUGGAGCCCGAGGCAAAGCAAGCAAGCAAGCAAGCAAGCGAGAGGAAAGGAAAGGGAGUCGAGCGGGUUUUCCACCGGCCGCGGCAGAACAACAGUCGCCGCCCCGUGUCCUCGCCCCCACCCCCCACCCCCGCGCGAAGCUGUCUCCCGUCCGCAGAUUCAGAAGCUGCCCCCUUUUCGUGCCCGGCUGGCAGGCGCAGGUAGGGCGGGAGGAGCAACACGUUGUCGGCUCUCGAGCGGCGCUGCUCCCAACCUGCUCGCAGGUGGCCCUGGAAGCAACUUUGCGGGCUCCCCUUUUGGCGGGGGACGAACGAAGCGCUCCCUCCAGAGCGACGAGUCGCCUCUUCUUUCCCCUCUCGGGCGCUUGCUGGCGAUCCACUCCGCCCCAGCCGCUAAGGACCAACCUCACUCCAGCUCUUGUUCGGUUCUGCACUAGGACCAGCCCUUCCGCGGGCUUCACCUGCCUCCGGGGAAAGUGCCUAAGAGAGCUCCGUUGCGCUUCCGGACCGGCUGGGCGAGGGCGAGGGCGAGGGGGUGAUCGUCCGCCCUAGCCCCCAGGAUCCUACCUCGCCCGCGGGCGAGCGGCUAGGGGAGGACGGCGAAGCGGGGCAGCCCAAGGCGACGGUCGCUGGGAAAAGGCGGAGCGCUCGCUGAGCGAGGCUGGGAGUGUCUCUCCAGCGGGGAUCUUUCUUCGCGAUCCCGAAGCCGCGAUUGAUGCAACUUUCCUUGAUUUCUCCCCCGCAGGUUAACUGGGGGACAGAAGGAAACUCUCCCGCCCGGAAAGGGGAUUUCUUAUUUCGCGGUUUUAUUAUUUUCUUCUUCGGAGGAGGAGGAGGUUAGUUCCAUCUUUUAAUUGCGCCUUCUUGAAACGGCGGGACCAUGUGCUGAGGGCAUGACUCGAACUUGAUACCUCUUCGAGGAAAUCGUCAGGGUUUAUUUCUCGACAAAAGAGACUCCUCGCCUUUCUUCUGCUUGGGAAUAGGUUCCUGAGAUUACUGGAACGAUGCAGGGAAAUCUCCCAAUGCUGCUGGAGGAGAAAGAGAAGAAAUGGCAGCCCUGCAACUCCUUCAACCUCCACGCUGGAGGAAACAAGACUUUCUCACGAAAGAAAGACAAAAGUCAUCAUUGAAAUUGAGCUCCACAAAGUGGAGCAGCAUGAUUUCCCUACAAAGGACAACGGAGGGAAAGAGAAGGUUCUCUUCGAGAGACAGGACCUCCCCCAAGCAGCGCAGUCAGAGCCGGCCUGCAUAAGAAGAGACCAAGAGAUAAGACAAUAUCUCCGGCAAGUGGUCUCUGAGCGAAGGAGAGAAACACCGCAGGCUCUGUUGCAGGAACACACCUUUGUGACCGGAUUAGCUGCUAUGCUGGAAAUGUACGAUCUCAG
Molecule: long non-coding RNA, 4744 nt
Organism: Ahaetulla prasina
Lineage: Eukaryota; Metazoa; Chordata; Lepidosauria; Squamata; Colubridae
Exons: 4
Source: RefSeq, a predicted model, not a curated record